CCUACUUCUCAGUCUUAGAAGAUUGCCUUAGACGAUUGAAAAUCUUGGAUUCUAUCAUCUUAAGGAAUCUCAAACUGGAUCAUUCAGGUGAGAACAUCAUGGCUUAGAGAGGUCAAAUCACAUGCCCCAGGUUAUGUGCACUUCACGACAGACCCAGGACAUGUUCCCAGGCCCCUCUGCCAUCCGAAUUUGUGUUCUUAACUGGCAACCUGCCACCAAGAAACCUCACCCUGUUCCCAAGGAGCCACUAGACUCCAGCAGAUGGAAGCAACUUAAAUAAAUUAAACCCAAGAAAUGUCCCGUCCGUGUUCUGCUCAAACUGCUGUGAAUUGCCUCAUGACUGACUGGAAAGCCACCAGGCUCACAAGUGAGUUACAGACUUGUUGAAGGGGCUGGUAAAUCAAGUGAUGGGGAGAAAAGGAGGAAUGUGUUCAGGGUCGUAAAGAAGAGGAGGAGAAAAAAGCAAAAAUCUCUAAAGACUUGUGACAUCUCAAGCUAGCCAUAAAAGGUAAAGCAGGACAUUGGCCUGGCAAGCACAGUCUGUAGCCCUAACCAUGGCUCUGCCGCUGGUUCCCUAGGAAUAGUCUGGUUGCGAGAACUCCAAGAACAUCCUGUUCUGCCUGCCCACGGAGAGACAGGGAGCAAAUCUGAGGCUUACCAAGUGCUGCUGAAGGGCGUAGGGAGUCGGCUUCCUGCUGGGCUCAGAGACUCCUGCAGAACUGCCUCUAGAACCUUCCUCAUCCCCAGCCUGCCCUGCUUGCUACCCGUCCUCAUGGUGGAACUUGCUGUUCCUAUAACAACACUCCUUCUACCCCACCCUCCCCUAGCUCGCCUCCAUCCCCGUGACCUGAUGCAAAGGCAACUUCUCAGGCAUCCAGAUCAGAUGUGGAGGGCUUUGCAGUCCCUCUGCAACUUAAGAGCACAAGCUUUGGAAUCAACAGACCUGAACACUUGCUGUUUAGUCAAGCCAUGAAUCUCACAGUACCUCAGUUUCCUCAUCUGAAAAUAGGAUGAGGAGUGAUACCUAUCACACAGGGUGUUUUUCAGGAAUAAGUGAGAAAAUGUUUGUAAGGAACACACAGUUCCUAGUCCACAGAAAGAGGUAGCUUAUAACUCUCUUUGUACUUCUGCUUCUAAGUAUCAGGUUCCCAAGCACCACCUCAACACCUUAGUUUCUCUAAUGCCAUAUCAAGUCAAAGAAUCUUACAACUGGAAGAGACUAGAAGUCACCUGGAAUAAGUAUUUUUUUCUUUAUGUAGUUUUCAUACAUCUAAGAAAUAUCAGUAAAGUACUUAGUAAAACCA
Nyctereutes procyonoides (raccoon dog) is the source of this 1304-nucleotide long non-coding RNA. RefSeq lists it as uncharacterized. The transcript has 2 exons. NCBI's taxonomy places the organism in Eukaryota, Metazoa, Chordata, Mammalia, Carnivora, Canidae. The record is from RefSeq and is a predicted model, not a curated record.